UGUCUGGGAGACUAAUUUCUUCUCUAAAAUUUACUGUUAAAAUCCACAGGUUUAGUUGGGUGCCAGUUUGUCUUCACUUGGGUCUCCAAGCAUGGCCUCAGGUCCCCUUCAGUGGAGCCCUUGUUUAGUCAUUGUGGACCUGCUUUAAAGUAAAGAGUGCUCUGUUUGCCAAUCAAGUCCUGCACCAUCAACUAGAAUACUGUUCCAUCCCAGCAGUAGCUGCCUGCAUCCUGUGUUUGCUACAUCCUGAUGACCAAGACUUACUGUGAGAAAGUUGUGUUAGACCCUCUUGGAUUGCGCACAUUGGGCCUGUGCUAAUGCCAUAAUGACAGAAUCACGCAACAGUGUUUUCUCAGAAUAGUAGCCAUCUUGAUAACUAAAGUGUGCAUGUAUAAAUGUAGGAAUUAGCUCG
Molecule: long non-coding RNA, 412 nt
Filed under: Cricetulus griseus (Chinese hamster)
Lineage: Eukaryota; Metazoa; Chordata; Mammalia; Rodentia; Cricetidae
Description: lncRNA (ENSCGRG00000026016.1)
Source: RNAcentral